This 72-nucleotide transfer RNA is filed under the name Bacillus velezensis. Its description in RNAcentral is "tRNA-Asp". It matches the Rfam family "tRNA". From Rfam's summary of the family: Transfer RNA (tRNA) molecules are approximately 80 nucleotides in length. Their secondary structure includes four short double-helical elements and three loops (D, anti-codon, and T loops). Further hydrogen bonds mediate the characteristic L-shaped molecular structure. tRNAs have two regions of fundamental functional importance: the anti-codon, which is responsible for specific mRNA codon recognition, and the 3' end, to which the tRNAs corresponding amino acid is attached (by aminoacyl-tRNA synthetases). tRNAs cope with the degeneracy of the genetic code in two manners: having more than one tRNA (with a specific anti-codon) for a particular amino acid; and 'wobble' base-pairing, i.e. permitting non-standard base-pairing at the 3rd anti-codon position. Lineage: Bacteria; Bacillati; Bacillota; Bacilli; Caryophanales; Bacillaceae. The record is from RNAcentral.
GGUCCGGUAGUUCAGUUGGUUAGAAUGCCUGCCUGUCACGCAGGAGGUCGCGGGUUCGAGUCCCNCGGGUCA